CGGAUGGGGUCCAUUUUUAGCUUCCACUAUGCACGUUCGAACCAGGGACGUAACUACGGGUGGGCCAUGGCCCACGUGCUAGCCCACCCUGAAUAUAUAACCCAAAACAAAAUUGAAAACCGCAAGAGUUCAACUCCACAUAACUCAAGAUGCCUCGAGUUUUGUAAACAUGAAAAUUUACCAACGAAUACAUUAAACACUCAUAAUCCAAGACGCCUUGUAUUCCGUAAAAAUGAAAAUAAAAAACCACAAGUAUAAUUUAAGCCCACAUAAUUUCACGCUAAUAGCAAUAAAAAUUUUUAUUUACAAGAUGCGAAAAAAUGCUCCUUUGUACAUUUUACAUGAUAAUUAAUGCGAUUAACUGGAAAG
RNAcentral lists this long non-coding RNA (369 nucleotides) under Androctonus crassicauda. Lineage: Eukaryota; Metazoa; Arthropoda; Arachnida; Scorpiones; Buthidae. The record is from RNAcentral.